This is a long non-coding RNA of Heteronotia binoei (common prickly gecko), 811 nucleotides long. RefSeq lists it as uncharacterized. The transcript has 3 exons. The record is from RefSeq and is a predicted model, not a curated record. Lineage: Eukaryota; Metazoa; Chordata; Lepidosauria; Squamata; Gekkonidae.
AGCUUUCUCCCUGCCCCCAACUCAGCCUGGGCUUUUUCCUGUCUCUUAACUCCACCAGUUCAGCAGUGAGCUGUGUGUGUGUGUGUGUGUAAAAGGGGUGGGGGGGCUAGACCAAGCCCGCCUGCCUGUCACUGGAGUUUUAGUUUGCAUUCUGAAGAAAGGAGGAGGGGGAGGGAGGAGGGAGAAGGGAGGGAGAAUGUCUUGUUUGUGGCUUGUCAGCAAUUGCUUGAGACAAGCUUCCAUGUGUGAAAGCUACUUGGCAUGAAUGCCUGGGCCAUACCAAGUCUCCCGGCAGCGAGAGGGGGAGGCUGAAGAAAAAACAGAGCAGAGCAGAGCAGACAAUAGGCCCCUAAAGUGUUCCCCCUAAGUUGCUUUGAUGUUGUCCUAGGAUCUUGAUACCAGGAGGCCGGGGGAGUGCAGGGAAAGGGUCGUGGGUUUUUUUUGUGUUGCCAUUCACUUUCCCCCCCUUUCGCCUUGGCGGAAUCAUUCUCCAGAAAUUCUCCUCAUAACACACAAUUUAAAAAAGAGGGAGAGGGAGCGAAAGCCAGCGAGACAGAAAGAAAAGAAAAGAUGCUGGUUGAUUGAUUCUGCGGUUAUCAAGCAAACUGACUGAGCUGAGAUUUCAAGGGGAGACUCUUGGACUGAAAUCAAGCUCUCAGAUUACUGGACCACACUGCCUGUGACUAGGCUUCAAGAUGCAAACUCAACCCCUUCUGCUUCUGAUGCAUCUUUGCUUGGACCUCAACCAAAAGAAUCAAUAUGCAGAGUGACGUAUUGCUAAAUAGUGACUGGGUAUUACUAGGUUUGAUGG